This 405-nucleotide ribosomal RNA is filed under the name uncultured bacterium. RNAcentral describes it as "partial 16S ribosomal RNA". It matches the Rfam family "Bacterial small subunit ribosomal RNA", at positions 30 to 526 of the family's 1533-position model. The record is from RNAcentral.
AUUGAACGCUGCGGCAGGCUUAACACAUGCAAGUCGAGCGAGCGGCGGACGGGUGAGUAAUGCUUAGGAAUCUGCCUAUUAGUGGGGGACACCAUCUCGAAAGGGAUGCUAAUACCGCAUACUUAUAGAUGAGCCUAAGUCGGAUGAGCUAGUUGGUGGGGCAAAGGCCUACCAAGGCGACGAUCUGUAGCGGGGCUGAGAGGAUGAUCCGCCAAACUGGGACUGAGACACGGGCCAGACUCCUACGGGAGGCAGCAGUGGGGAAAAUGGGGCAAUGGGGGGAACCCUGGUCCAGCCAUGGCGCGUGUGUGAAGAAGGCCUUAUGGUUGUAAAGCACGUUAAGCGAGGAGGCGUUACUCGCAGAAUAAGCACCGGCUAACUCUGUGCCAGCAGCCGCGGUAAUUC